GGGACACGUGGUAUCCUGUCUGAAUAUGGGGGGACCAUCCUCCAAGGCUAAAUACUCCUGACUGACCGAUAGUGAACCAGUACCGUGAGGGAAAGGCGAAAAGAACCCCGGCGAGGGGAGUGAAAAAGAACCUGAAACCGUGUACGUACAAGCAGUGGGAGCACGCUUAGGCGUGUGACUGCGUACCUUUUGUAUAAUGGGUCAGCGACUUAUAUUCUGUAGCAAGGUUAACCGAAUAGGGGAGCCGAAGGGAAACCGAGUCUUAACUGGGCGUUAAGUUGCAGGGUAUAGACCCGAAACCCGGUGAUCUAGCCAUGGGCAGGUUGAAGGUUGGGUAACACUAACUGGAGGACCGAACCGACUAAUGUUGAAAAAUUAGCGGAUGACUUGUGGCUGGGGGUGAAAGGCCAAUCAAACCGGGAGAUAGCUGGUUCUCCCCGAAAGCUAUUUAGGUAGCGCCUCGUGAAUUCAUCUCCGGGGGUAGAGCACUGUUUCGGCAAGGGGGUCAUCCCGACUUACCAACCCGAUGCAAACUGCGAAUACCGGAGAAUGUUAUCACGGGAGACACACGGCGGGUGCUAACGUCCGUCGUGAAGAGGGAAACAACCCAGACCGCCAGCUAAGGUCCCAAAGUCAUGGUUAAGUGGGAAACGAUGUGGGAAGGCCCAGACAGCCAGGAUGUUGGCUUAGAAGCAGCCAUCAUUUAAAGAAAGCGUAAUAGCUCACUGGUCGAGUCGGCCUGCGCGGAAGAUGUAACGGGGCUAAACCAUGCACCGAAGCUGCGGCAGCGACACUAUGUGUUGUUGGGUAGGGGAGCGUUCUGUAAGCCUGUGAAGGUGUGCUGUGAGGCAUGCUGGAGGUAUCAGAAGUGCGAAUGCUGACAUAAGUAACGAUAAAGCGGGUGAAAAGCCCGCUCGCCGGAAGACCAAGGGUUCCUGUCCAACGUUAAUCGGGGCAGGGUGAGUCGACCCCUAAGGCGAGGCCGAAAGGCGUAGUCGAUGGGAAACAGGUUAAUAUUCCUGUACUUGGUGUUACUGCGAAGGGGGGACGGAGAAGGCUAUGUUGGCCGGGCGACGGUUGUCCCGGUUUAAGCGUGUAGGCUGGUUUUCCAGGCAAAUCCGGAAAAUCAAGGCUGAGGCGUGAUGACGAGGCACUACGGUGCUGAAGCAACAAAUGCCCUGCUUCCAGGAAAAGCCUCUAAGCAUCAGGUAACAUCAAAUCGUACCCCAAACCGACACAGGUGGUCAGGUAGAGAAUACCAAGGCGCUUGAGAGAACUCGGGUGAAGGAACUAGGCAAAAUGGUGCCGUAACUUCGGGAGAAGGCACGCUGAUAUGUAGGUGAAGUCCCUCGCGGAUGGAGCUGAAAUCAGUCGAAGAUACCAGCUGGCUGCAACUGUUUAUUAAAAACACAGCACUGUGCAAACACGAAAGUGGACGUAUACGGUGUGACGCCUGCCCGGUGCCGGAAGGUUAAUUGAUGGGGUUAGCCGCA
Molecule: ribosomal RNA, 1493 nt
Filed under: Escherichia coli
Lineage: Bacteria; Pseudomonadati; Pseudomonadota; Gammaproteobacteria; Enterobacterales; Enterobacteriaceae
Description: partial 23S ribosomal RNA
Rfam family: Bacterial large subunit ribosomal RNA
Source: RNAcentral